GACGAACGCUGGCGGCGUGCCUAAUACAUGCAAGUAGAACGCUGAAGAGAGGAGCUUGCUCUUCUUGGAAGAGUUGCGAACGGGUGAGUAACGCGUAGGUAACCUGCCUUGUAGCGGGGGAUAACUAUUGGAAACGAUAGCUAAUACCGCAUAACAAUGGAUGACCCAUGUCAUUUAUUUGAAAGGGGCAACUGCUCCACUACAAGAUGGACCUGCGUUGUAUUAGCUAGUAGGUGAGGUAACGGCUCACCUAGGCGACGAUACAUAGCCAACCUGAGAGGGUGAUCGGCCACACUGGGACUGAGACACGGCCCAGACUCCUACGGGAGGCAGCAGUAGGGAAUCUUCGGCAAUGGGGGCAACCCUGACCGAGCAACGCCGCGUGAGUGAAGAAGGUUUUCGGAUCGUUAAGCUCUGUUGUAAGUCAAGAACGAGUGUGAGAGUGGAAAGUUCACACUGUGACGGUAGCUUACCAGAAAGGGACGGCUAACUACGUGCCAGCCGCCGCAGUAA
RNAcentral lists this ribosomal RNA (513 nucleotides) under uncultured bacterium. RNAcentral describes it as "partial 16S ribosomal RNA". It matches the Rfam family "Bacterial small subunit ribosomal RNA", at positions 28 to 523 of the family's 1533-position model. The record is from RNAcentral.